Molecule: ribosomal RNA, 497 nt
Filed under: uncultured bacterium
Lineage: Bacteria
Description: partial 16S ribosomal RNA
Rfam family: Bacterial small subunit ribosomal RNA
Source: RNAcentral
GAUGAACGUUGGCGGCGUGCCUAAUACAUGCAAGUCGAGCGAACAGACGAGGAGCUUGCUCCUCUGACGUUAGCGGCGGACGGGUGAGUAACACGUGGAUAACCUACCUAUAAGACUGGGAUAACUUCGGGAAACCGGAGCUAAUACCGGAUAAUAUAUUGAACCGCAUGGUUCAAUAGUGAAAGACAGUUUUGCUGUCACUUAUAGAUGGAUCCGCGCCGCAUUAGCUAGUUGGUAAGGUAACGGCUUACCAAGGCGACGAUGCGUAGCCGACCUGAGAGGGUGAUCGGCCACACUGGAACUGAGACACGGUCCAGACUCCUACGGGAGGCAGCAGUAGGGAAUCUUCCGCAAUGGGCGAAAGCCUGACGGAGCAACGCCGCGUGAGUGAUGAAGGUCUUCGGAUCGUAAAACUCUGUUAUUAGGGAAGAACAAAUGUGUAAGUAACUAUGCACGUCUUGACGGUACCUAAUCAGAAAGCCACGGCUAACUACGUG